Molecule: long non-coding RNA, 566 nt
Organism: Anthonomus grandis grandis
Lineage: Eukaryota; Metazoa; Arthropoda; Insecta; Coleoptera; Curculionidae
Exons: 3
Source: RefSeq, a predicted model, not a curated record
CAAGUCAAUGAGUGCAGAAGAUACUUUGAUUUGUGGAACUUACAUUUUUAGUGGUAGAACUUGGUGAAUGAAUUAGAACCAGUAGCAGAAUCUAAGUUUUAAGUUGACAGGUUUUCACCCUAGAGACGUAACGAACUCUUCUGUUAUAGCAGGUGUGUGCAACUAUUAAUGAAAAAUGCCAACUAGAUGCGAUAUACAAAGGUUUCAGCAAGGCUUUUGACCAGAUUGAACAUCAAAUAUUGAUAAACAAAUUGAUGUGCAUGUAUGGAUAAGAUCGAGGGAUUAAGCACAAAUCAACAUUGGAUUAGCACAACAAUUGGAUCCUUAAAUGCCGUUUUAUACAUGUAUGUAUUCUUACAAAACAACAAGCUUUAAAACUAUUGGAAUAGGAAAAAAGAAAACAUUAGUGAGGAAGCUAGAAGGAUAGUUACCAGAUGAAACUAUAGAAGAAGAUGAUGACGAAGUUACAGAAUAUGUAGACUUGUUAUGUUCGGAUAAGGAAUAGGGUUUCGUUUGUUUGUUUUUCUUAAAAGAUUUUUCAGGUUUAAGUUUAAUAAAGUGCUUUC